UACCCUAUUAUAUUAAUUACCUUAGGUAGUAAAAAAUUAUAUAAAAACCUAUAUAGUUUGGCGGCAUUUUAUCAUGUUAGAGGAACCUGUCUUUUAAUCGUAACCCCACGUUAUUUUUCACUUUUUCUAAAAUCUUAUAUACCGCCAUCUUAAGAAUUAUCUUAAAAAAUUUCUCAAAAUAUAAAUAUAGAAAGUUAGGUAAAGGUGUAGACUAUAAAAAAGUUAAGAUGUGUUACUUUAAAUUAAUAUUUAAGAAAAAUAUCUUAAAAGAAUUUGGNAAAGAGGAUUUAAAAGUAAAAUUUUAAUAUUAAUUUAUAUUGAACAUGAUAAUAAAUGUGCACAC
RNAcentral lists this ribosomal RNA (343 nucleotides) under Deliochus zelivira. RNAcentral's name for it is "partial small subunit ribosomal RNA". The record is from RNAcentral. Lineage: Eukaryota; Metazoa; Arthropoda; Arachnida; Araneae; Araneidae.